Molecule: long non-coding RNA, 4303 nt
Filed under: Macaca mulatta (Rhesus monkey)
Lineage: Eukaryota; Metazoa; Chordata; Mammalia; Primates; Cercopithecidae
Description: lncRNA (ENSMMUG00000061914.1)
Source: RNAcentral
CCUCAAGGACAUGAGCCAGAAACCCAGGUGAAAGGCAGCCCCCAACACAGGUGUUAAACCAGCCAGCUCCAGUCCAAGGUGGAAUAGAGCAGGCAUUCUGGGGUGAUAUAAAAAUUGAAAUAUGGGAGUCUCUGGACCAUGUCCCCAUGCCAUAACUCUUGUGCGCUUCCAAACCCUCUUUCUUACUAACACCAAGGAAACAACGAACAUGUCACUACCUUGCUUAGAUAUUUCCGAUGGUCCCAUCAUCAACAACAAAAGUUGCUCCUUUGCGUGGGAACAUGCCCUUUGUAAUUUACACCCUGCUUUCCUUGCCAGCUUCCUUUCUUCAGACCAUCCAGCUUGCUGCUUCUUGCCCAGCCAUGUGGAGCUAAUGAAGAUGUGCUGUUCCACGCCUCUGUGCCUCUCCACAUGCUGUUCCUUUCCCUGGAGUGCCAACCCUUUCUGCCUGCUGUCCACCUAUCAAACUUCCACUCAUCCUUUACAAACCAGCAUAAGCAUCAGCGCUUUGGGGGUGUGCAAAAAUACCAAUGUGAGAGACCAAAGAUCUGUCCCUGGGAUCUGGUGAGGUGGAAGGCCAGCAGGCUCCCUGUGGAGAUCAGGAGUCCCAGCAAUAUGGUGGCCGCUGGCACCACACAGAGGAGGUCAGUGUGCGAGUCGCUGGCAGCGGACGUAACUCGUGAACCACAGGAAUACUGAAUCCAACGUUCAGUCUCAGAUCUUCCUAAUCCUACACUGUCAGGGACAGACUUUGGGCCCAGUAGCACACUGCCUGUUGUAUUUAGAGAAUAGAGGGGAGGAGGCUGUGUCCACCCUGGAGGAAGAAGAAAGAAAAAGUGAGCAAGCGAAUGAGACAGAGAGAGAGAGAGAGAGAGAGAGAGAGAGAGAGAGAAGCUCCAGAUGAUGAGAGUUGUGAUAAGAGCAGGAAUUUGGAGUGAGAGUAGGGAGGCGUCACUUGGUAUUACCAGGAAGUCCUGGGAAAGGCACGGAAUGUCCCACAGUCCUGUGGGAGACGUGGGUGGGGGUGAUUUAAAUUUUUUGUUUAAUAGAAAGGAAAGGAUGAUCACAGACAGCCUGACAACUAGGAUAGACUCAAGUUACUUGUGUGGGGCAGCGAUACCUCUUCCACCAUCAUCUGACCCCCAUUUGUAUGAUUCACCUGCAUUUGUUUUAUUGUUAAACUCUCUCUGUGUGUUAGUGCCUUCUCUUCCUCAGUAGUUCUGGAUUCUUUGGAGGCUACCAUGGACAGUUUCACUUGAGUUUGGUGGUGCAUACAUAAGGAGUAAUUGGAGAUAAACUGGAAGAAGUUGGCUAGGGCCAGAUCAUUGCAUGGCAUUGCUUGCCAUAUAUUUCAGAAUAGACCACUGUGAACCCCGUGACAUGUUUAUGUGUGAAGUUAGCUUCACAGCUUAGGAUCAGUUAGUAAGCAUUCAAGAAUUAACACUCACAGGAGGCUCUAGCAAGUACUUUCAAUGUCAAUUUUUCAUUGGCGAAAUAGUGGGAUUCAGGACAUGUGGGUUGUAUAAGUACUUGCCCCAUUACACAGUGAGGUGUAAAGACACAGCAUGCUCAGUUGCCCACCCCUGGAGUGCAGCUGUCGGUGGAGAACUCUGCUUGGUCCUCUGCCCCACCCCAGUUCAUCCUUCACAGAGGACUCUCCGACCCCUAUAGACAGCUUGCUGACAGAACUCCUACAGCAUCUGCUUUAGAGUGGAUCUUUCAUGCAGGAUGCUUGCGGGGAGCCACAAAGGACAGAGAACAGGACCUCACUGAGGUUACAGGAGCAGAUUGUAUGACUGUUUCUAUGCCUGUUUGAUAUCGUAGUUUCUACGUUUGGCAGAUCUGAGUGUGGUGCUCAUUGUAACAUUUCCUGUUGCAGGGAGAGGAGCCACCGCUGAUAUUUUCUGAUCAGUGUGCAACACAUGGGUCGUUUUGACAUGUAUGCAAAGGGUGUUUGCAAUCGAAGACACUGACCAUGAAGGCUUUGAAGCAGGGAAUGACAUGGAGAAGGUGAUCUGUGCUGAGAGCGGGAGGCUGGGGCAGGGAUUCAAGUUAGAACCGGAGAGUGGAGCCACGAACCUGGUGACCCGAGCUAGAACUGCUGCAAGGUCAGAAUGCACGGGCUCCCCCGAACUCCUCUGAACCCUGGCACUGGCCAAGGACUUCCUGAGUUAGAGGGGAUGUGCAGGCAAGCCAACUCCUUCCACCAUGACAAAACCACACUUUGAUGAGUCAGGAGGAGAUCCAUCCCAGACACAGAUCACAUUUCCCCUCAUUACAUUUGCCUCCAUGCAUGUGGAGUCGGGUGUUGGAAUUCAGAGAAGGGCAAAUGUGAAAGGCAGCUUGAGCUUCACCAAGAAGACACACUCACAGAAACGACGCUGAAGCAGUGAGCAAGGCUUGGAGCCCCAAACUUUCCCAGAGUGGCCCGGUUCUUCCAGAGGCAGCCCAUUCAUUUUGUCCCUUGUGAGAUCUUUUGUGAGUCUAUUUUAGUGGCCUUUGGAGGCAAUAAGUAUGAAGGAUCCUUUUUAAGAAGAAAUUCACAAAGCUAAGAGGCCCCCUGCAGAUCACUUGGCAAGAUCGGGUGGAGCUAGGCUCAGGACCCUUGCUGAUUUUGGCUCUUCUUCCUCCCUCCUCUCUGGUAUGGUUGGGCAUUCUCUUCCCUUUGGGCUCCCUCCCUGAGACUCAUUUCCCAAGCAUGGCGUCUUCUCAGAUGGAGGCUAUACCCUUUCUGAUCAAAACUCAUGAGCUGUGCAGUGCACUAGGUAUUGCUUCCCAGGGUGGGUUUUCAAAAUACCCAGAAAAUGAAUAGGAAUAAAUAGGCUCAGGAACAGCCUGGUGCCCCCUGCUCCCUUUCUCUCUUCUUUCUUUUAGUCCCCUUCCUUCCCCUUCCCUUCUCUACCCUCCCCUUCCCUCUCCUUCUCUCUUCUUCCCUUCCCUUCCCUCCCACUCUUGCUCUUCAAGUUAGGCUUACAGGAUGGAGUGGAAAAACCUUUAGAAAUCUUUAGCACAUGGCUCUUUCUCAGUUGUCAGGUAGGUGAGGACAUUUGGAGACCAAGGCUCAGGCCAUCUUUCAAUGCCUUUUCAUGUUCAGUGCCCAGCGAUUCUUUUCUCUCAAGACCUCUACCUCUCUCUAUUCACAGUACUGUUGUGAGGAAAGAGAGUUGAUACUUGUGAAUAACAACAAUUAUUAAAAUAGUUUACCAUGAUUGAGUGGAUAGUCUGUGCCACGCAGGUGCCAGGUACUUCACACAGAACAACCCAUUCAAUCCUCAUAGCUCUUUGAGAUAGCAACUACAAUCUCCCCAUUUUACAGGUGAGGAACCUGAGAUUUAGGUCAAAAUAUUUGCCCAAAGUCAUUUUAGUUGGUUAAAAGGUGGCCCCAAAAAGAUGUGUCCAAACCCCUUAGAUCUGUGAAUAUGACCUUGGUUGGGAAACGAGUCUUUGUAGAUACAAUUAAGUUGAGGAUCUGGGGAUGAAAUUGUACUGAAAAACAAGAAUGGGCCCUAAUCCCAAUGAUAAGUCUCCUUAUAAGAGACAAAAGGAGAAGGCCACGUUAAGACAGGGUUAGAGACUGGAGUGAUGUGGCCACAAGCUAAGGAAUGUGGACAGCCACCAGGAGCUGGGAGAGGCUGGAAAAGGUUCUCCCCUUGAGCCUUCAGAGGGAACAUGGCCCUGCUGACACCUGGAUUUUUUGGACUUACGGUUUCUAUAACUGAGAAAGAAUGAGUUUCUGCUGUUUUAAGCUACCCAGUUUGUAAUAAUUUGUUACAGCAGCCCUAAGAAUCUAAUUCAGUCAAAUAGCUGGCUCGUAAGUGGUGAAACAAAGAUACUAUCAAUAUUAAAGCUGUUAUAAUAACCAAAUUUAUUUUAUUUUUGAGAUAAGGUCUCACUCUGUCACCCAGACUGGAGGGAAGUUGCAUGAUCAUGACUCACUGCAGCCUCAAUCUCCUGGACUUAGGUGAUUCUCCCACCUUGCCUUCAGGGUAGCUGGGACUAUAGGCACAUGCCACCAUGCCCAGCUAAGCUAAUUUUUUGUAUUUUUGUAGAGAUGGGGUUUCAUCAUAUUGCCCAGGCUGGUCUUGAACCCCUGGGCUCAAGCAAUCCACCUGCCUUGGCCUCCCAAAGAAUUAGGAUUACAGGCGUGAGUCAUUGCACCCAGCCAAUAACCAAAUUUCAACAAGUCAUUAUAGAAAAAUAAUGAAUAACAUACAAAAAGAAUUAUUAUAUAUUAUCAGUUGAAAGGAGCAUGCUAAGAAAGAAAGAAACUGAGAAAGAAAGAAAGGGAAAUAAAGAAAAGGAG